RNAcentral lists this ribosomal RNA (410 nucleotides) under uncultured Methylomirabilota bacterium. Its description in RNAcentral is "bacterial SSU rRNA". It matches the Rfam family "Bacterial small subunit ribosomal RNA", at positions 1025 to 1434 of the family's 1533-position model. The record is from RNAcentral. Lineage: Bacteria; Methylomirabilota (SeqCode).
AGCGUGGAGACAGGUGGUGCAUGGCUGUCGUCAGCUCGUGUCGUGAGAUGUUGGGUUAAGUCCCGCAACGAGCGCAACCCUCACCCCUUGUUGCCAUCAGGUCACGCUGGGCACUCUAGGGGAACUGCCCCGGUCAACGGGGAGGAAGGUGGGGACGACGUCAAGUCAUCAUGCCCCUUACGUCCUGGGCUACACACGUGCUACAAUGGCCGGUACAAAGGGAUGCAAGACCGUGAGGUGGAGCUGAACCCAAAAAGCCGGUCUAAGUUCAGAUUGGAGUCUGCAACUCGACUCCAUGAAGGAGGAAUCGCUAGUAAUCGCGCAUCAGCACGGCGCGGUGAAUACGUUCCCGGGCCUUGUACACACCGCCCGUCACACCACGAAAGCCAGCUGUACUCGAAGUCGCUGAG